GUAUAGGGGAGCCGCAGGGAAACCGAGUCUUAACUGGGCGUUAAGUUGCAGGGUAUAGACCCGAAACCCGGUGAUCUAGCCAUGGGCAGGUUGAAGGUUGGGUAACACUAACUGGAGGACCGAACCGACUAAUGUUGAAAAAUUAGCGGAUGACUUGUGGCUGGGGGUGAAAGGCCAAUCAAACCGGGAGAUAGCUGGUUCUCCCCGAAAGCUAUUUAGGUAGCGCCUCGUGAACUCAUCUUCGGGGGUAGAGCACUGUUUCGGCUAGGGGGUCAUCCCGACUUACCAACCCGAUGCAAACUACGAAUACCGAAGAAUGUUAUCACGGGAGACACACGGCGGGUGCUAACGUCCGUCGUGAAGAGGGAAACAACCCAGACCGCCAGCUAAGGUCCCAAAGUCAUGGUUAAGUGGGAAACGAUGUGGGAAGGCACAGACAGCCAGGAUGUUGGCUUAGAAGCAGCCAUCAUUUAAAGAAAGCGUAAUAGCUCACUGGUCGAGUCGGCCUGCGCGGAAGAUGUAACGGGGCUAAACCAUGCACCGAAGCUGCGGCAGCGACACUAUGUGUUGUUGGGUAGGGGAGCGUUCUGUAAGCCUGCGAAGGUGUGCUGUGAGGCAUGCUGGAGGUAUCAGAAGUGCGAAUGCUGACAUAAGUAACGAUAAAGCGGGUGAAAAGCCCGCUCGCCGGAAGACCAAGGGUUCCUGUCCAACGUUAAUCGGGGCAGGGUGAGUCGACCCCUAAGGCGAGGCCGAAAGGCGUAGUCGAUGGGAAACAGGUUAAUAUUCCUGUACUUGGUGUUACUGCGAAGGGGGGACGGAGAAGGCUAUGUUAGCCGGGCGACGGUUGUCCCGGUUUAAGCAUGUAGGCUGGUUAUCCAGGCAAAUCCGGAUAAUCAAGGCUGAGGUGUGAUGACGAGGCACUACGGUGCUGAAGUAACAAAUGCCCUGCUUCCAGGAAAAGCCUCUAAGCAUCAGGUAACAUCAAAUCGUACCCCAAACCGACACAGGUGGUCAGGUAGAGAAUACCAAGGCGCUUGAGAGAACUCGGGUGAAGGAACUAGGCAAAAUGGUGCCGUAACUUCGGGAGAAGGCACGCUGGUGUGUAGGUGAAGUCCCUGCGGAUGGAGCUGAGAC
This 1134-nucleotide ribosomal RNA is filed under the name Klebsiella pneumoniae. Its description in RNAcentral is "partial 23S ribosomal RNA". It matches the Rfam family "Bacterial large subunit ribosomal RNA", at positions 655 to 1800 of the family's 2925-position model. Lineage: Bacteria; Pseudomonadati; Pseudomonadota; Gammaproteobacteria; Enterobacterales; Enterobacteriaceae. The record is from RNAcentral.